RNAcentral lists this transfer-messenger RNA (404 nucleotides) under Patescibacteria group bacterium. It matches the Rfam family "transfer-messenger RNA". Rfam says of the family: Bacterial tmRNA, also known as 10Sa RNA or SsrA, is named for its dual tRNA and mRNA-like properties. The record is from RNAcentral.
GGGGAUGACGAGCUAUCGACGAACGUUAUUUCGACACUCUGCAGGCCGAGCUGAGCACGCUCGUAAAACAGGCUCACAUACAACAACUGCAAACGUUGUAACCAAGGUGAAGAACGUGUUCGCUUCGGCGUUCCGCGUCUCUUCUCCGGCUAUGGCUCUCGCUUAAAUUCAUUUAGGCUUUGACCACGCUCCCCGUUCCUCGCCCGAUGGAACGGUCCCGAGUGUCAUCCUUCGGGCUUGAUCUCCCGCGCUCACAACCCGCGGCAGAUGACAUUGCGGCUGUGUAGGCACGGGACGCUCGUCUGCUUUGAACCCCGCGCCGAAACACUGAGCAGACCAAGCCUGUGAACGAAGGGAUCGGGAACACGUCUCGGACGGGGGUGCGACUCCCCCCAUCUCCACCA